AACGAACGCUGGCGGCGUGCCUAACACAUGCAAGUCGGGGGAGAAAGGGAGCUUCGGCUCCCGAGUAAACCGGCGCACGGGUGAGUAAUACGUAGGUAACGUGCCCACGAGCCCGGGAUAACCAGUCGAAAGAUUGGCUAAUACCGGAUACGACCGAGAGGGCUUCGGCUCUCACGGUGAAAGAUGGCCUCUGCUUGCAAGCUAUCACUCAUGGAGCGGCCUGCGCACCAUUAGCUAGUUGGUGAGGUAACGGCUCACCAAGGCCGAGAUGGUUAGCUGGUCUGAGAGGAUGGCCAGCCACACUGGGACUGAGACACGGCCCAGACUCCUACGGGAGGCAGCAGUGGGGAAUAUUGCGCAAUGGGCGAAAGCCUGACGCAGCGACGCCGCGUGGGUGAUGAAGGCC
Molecule: ribosomal RNA, 406 nt
Filed under: uncultured bacterium
Lineage: Bacteria
Description: bacterial SSU rRNA
Rfam family: Bacterial small subunit ribosomal RNA
Source: RNAcentral